UAUGGCCAUAUCACAUUGAAACAUUGGUUCCUGUAUGAUCGCCAAUGUUAAGCAAUGUCGAGUCUGGUUAGUACCUAGAUGGGUGACCUCUUAGGCAUAUCAGGUACUGUAAG
Molecule: non-coding RNA, 113 nt
Organism: Acanthosepion pharaonis
Lineage: Eukaryota; Metazoa; Mollusca; Cephalopoda; Sepiida; Sepiidae
Source: the annotation of a GenBank genome assembly